This 525-nucleotide ribosomal RNA is filed under the name uncultured eukaryote. RNAcentral's name for it is "SSU rRNA". It matches the Rfam family "Eukaryotic small subunit ribosomal RNA", at positions 21 to 549 of the family's 1831-position model. The record is from RNAcentral.
UAGUCAUAUGCUUGUCUCAAAGAUUAAGCCAUGCAUGUCUAAGUAUAAGCAAUCUAUACGGUGAAACUGCGAAUGGCUCAUUAAAUCAGUUAUCGUUUAUUUGAUAGUACCUUACUACUUGGAUAACCGCGGUAAUUCUAGAGCUAAUACAUGCUAAAAACCCCGACUUCGGAAGGGGUGUAUUUAUUAGAUAAAAAACCAAUGCCCUUCGGGGCUCCCUGGUGAUUCAUAAUAACUUAACGAAUCGCAUGGCCUUGUGCCGGCGAUGGUUCAUUCAAAUUUCUGCCCUAUCAACUUUCGAUUGUAAGGUAGUGGCUUACAAUGGUUUCAACGGGUAACGGGGAAUUAGGGUUCUAUUCCGGAGAGGGAGCCUGAGAAACGGCUACCACAUCCAAGGAAGGCAGCAGGCGCGCAAAUUACCCAAUCCCGACACGGGGAGGUAGUGACAAUAAAUACUGAUACAGGGCUCUUUUGGGUCUUGUAAUUGGAAUGAGUACAAUUUAAAUCCCUUAACGAGGAACAAUU